GUCCACGCCCUAACGAUGUCGACUGGUUGUUGGGGUUUGACACUCUCAGUAACGAAGCUAACGCGUGAAGUCGACCGCCUGGGGAGUACGGCCGCAAGGUUAAACUCAAAGGAAUUGACGGGACCCGCACAAGCGGUGGAUUAUGUGGAUUAAUUCGAUGCAACGCGAAACCUUACCUACCCUUGACAUGUCCGAGAGGCUGGAGAAAUCCAGCUGUGCCCGAAAGGGAAUCGGAACACAGGUGCUGCAUGGCUGUCGU
Molecule: ribosomal RNA, 259 nt
Filed under: uncultured bacterium
Lineage: Bacteria
Description: partial 16S ribosomal RNA
Rfam family: Bacterial small subunit ribosomal RNA
Source: RNAcentral